This 457-nucleotide ribosomal RNA is filed under the name uncultured bacterium. RNAcentral describes it as "bacterial SSU rRNA". It matches the Rfam family "Bacterial small subunit ribosomal RNA", at positions 30 to 486 of the family's 1533-position model. The record is from RNAcentral.
AUUGAACGCUGGCGGCAUGCCUAACACAUGCAAGUCGAACGGAGGUAGGGGCAACUCUACUUCAGUGGCGGACGGGUGAGGAAUGCGUCGGAAUCUACCCUAUGGUGGGGGAUAACACAGGGAAACUUGUGCUAAUACCGCAUAAUGUCGAGAGACCAAAGCAGGGACCGCAAGGCCUUGCGCGAUAGGAUGAGCCGACGCCCGAUUAGCUAGUUGGUAGGGUAAAGGCCUACCAAGGCGACGAUCGGUAGCUGGUCUGAGAGGAUGAUCAGCCACACUGGGACUGAGACACGGCCCAGACUCCUACGGGAGGCAGCAGUGGGGAAUAUUGGACAAUGGGCGCAAGCCUGAUCAGCAAUGCCGCGUGUGUGAAGAAGGCCUGCGGGUUGUAAAGCACUUUUGUCGGGAAGAAAUCUUUCUGGGUUAAUACCUCGGGAGGAUGACGGUACCUGAAGAA